CCUACGGGUGGCUGCAGUGGGGAAUAUUGGGCAAUGGGCGCACGCCUGACCCAGCCACGCCGCGUGAAGGAAGACGGCUCUCGGGUUGUAAACUUCUUUUAAGAGGGAAGUGCAGAAGACGGUACCUCUUGAAUAAGCCACGGCUAACUAAGUGCCAGCAGCCGCGGUAAUACGUAGGUGGCAAGCGUUGUCCGGAUUUACUGGGUGUAAAGGGUGUGUAGCGGGGAAGUCAAGUCAGUUGUGAAAGUCCGCGGCUCAACCGUGGAACUGCAGUUGAAACUGUUUGUCUUGAGUACCGGAGAGGUCAGCGGAAUUCCUGGUGUAGCGGUGAAAUGCGUAGAUAUAAGGAAGAACACCGAUGGCGAAGGCGGAUGACUGGACGGCAACUGACGGUGAGGCGCGAAAGUGUGGGGAGCAAACAGGAUUAGAUACCCGAGUAGUC
This 442-nucleotide ribosomal RNA is filed under the name uncultured bacterium. Its description in RNAcentral is "partial 16S ribosomal RNA". It matches the Rfam family "Bacterial small subunit ribosomal RNA", at positions 338 to 795 of the family's 1533-position model. The record is from RNAcentral.